RNAcentral lists this ribosomal RNA (497 nucleotides) under uncultured bacterium. Its description in RNAcentral is "partial 16S ribosomal RNA". It matches the Rfam family "Bacterial small subunit ribosomal RNA", at positions 28 to 507 of the family's 1533-position model. The record is from RNAcentral.
GAUGAACGCUGGCGGCGUGCCUAAUACAUGCAAGUCGAGCGAACAGACGAGGAGCUUGCUCCUCUGACGUUAGCGGCGGACGGGUGAGUAACACGUGGAUAACCUACCUAUAAGACUGGGAUAACUUCGGGAAACCGGAGCUAAUACCGGAUAAUAUAUUGAACCGCAUGGUUCAAUAGUGAAAGACGGUUUUGCUGUCACUUAUAGAUGGAUCCGCGCCGCAUUAGCUAGUUGGUAAGGUAACGGCUUACCAAGGCAACGAUGCGUAGCCGACCUGAGAGGGUGAUCGGCCACACGGGAACUAAGACACGGUCCAGACUCCUACGGGAGGCAGCGGUAGGGAAUCUUCCGCAAUGGGCGAAAGCCUGACGGAGCAACGCCGCGUGAGUGAUGAAGAUCUUCGGAUCGUAAAACUCUGUUAUUGGGGAAGAACAAAUGUGUAAGUAACUAUGCACGUCUUGACGGUACCUGAUCAGAAAGCCACGGCUAACUACGUG